UCAAAUUGAAAUAUUCCCUUUAUAUAAAAGGUUGAUCUACUCAGUCUUAUUUGAUUCCGCAGCAAAACAAUUUGGUUCGGGAAAUUUCUUUCGAUAAACACUUGGAGUUUUUGAAAACAUUUUUGAGAAUGACGUCAUGAUGCCGCACUGUAUUUACAGUCCGUUGAGGAUUUCGUCAUUUGGUGAUUUUGUCAUACUACAUUAUACCAUAAUGGAAUAGUGACUUUAAGUCAAAUUCACACUAAGUAAUACUGCAUUGAUGACUCCAUCAUUUUUAUCAUCUCUACACCAGGUCAAAUGGUACAUAAGUGAUAAAUAAAAACAAUUUUUUUUUUAAAAGGCACAUAAUGCGUAUUUAUCUUGAUGUUAAAAUAUCGAAGUUUAGCAAAGCUAGGGGUUUAGGAAAACUUAAGUCUCCACUAAUGAUCAUUUGCUUAAACAUUC
This 444-nucleotide long non-coding RNA is filed under the name Panax ginseng (ginseng). RNAcentral's name for it is "long non-coding RNA (PGIN_LNC015262)". Lineage: Eukaryota; Viridiplantae; Streptophyta; Magnoliopsida; Apiales; Araliaceae. The record is from RNAcentral.